This 77-nucleotide transfer RNA is filed under the name Candidatus Levybacteria bacterium RBG_16_35_6. RNAcentral describes it as "tRNA-Pro". Lineage: Bacteria; Candidatus Levyibacteriota. The record is from RNAcentral.
CGGGGGGUAGCUCAGAUAGAUAGAGCACUCGCAUGGGGUGCGAGAGGUCGCUGGGGCGGAACCAGUUCCCCCGACAA